Bos taurus (domestic cattle) is the source of this 1339-nucleotide long non-coding RNA. The record is from Ensembl. NCBI's taxonomy places the organism in Eukaryota, Metazoa, Chordata, Mammalia, Artiodactyla, Bovidae.
CCAUCACACAGGGUCCCCACCACACAGGUCCCCACCACGCAGGGUCCCCACCACGCAGGGUCCCCACCACGCAGGGUCCCCACCAUGCACAGUCCCCACCAUGCAGGCCCACAGUGGGAGGAGGACACGCUGAGGAGGGAAGGCCCCCAAGGCUGUAAAGGUGAAGCUGAGUUCAGACCACACAGGUCCCAGCGGAUGCCCCAUCUCGAAGGUUGUAAAGGCCGGUGCCCAUCAGUGGUGCUCACUAGGUCUGCAGGCACUGGGUAGCAUGAGCCACUUGAAGCUGGGAAGCUUUGGGACCCAUCUGUUACGCAGCAGAGGCUAACUGAUACAAGGGACGUGGGACUUGGGUGGGUGUGCUUCCUUUUUUACUCAGUAGAUAAGAAGACUGUUCAGACUAUAUGUAAGAUACAAGUAUUAACCUUCAGUAAACCCUGGCUUAUCUACCACCCAGGCUAAAAAAAAAAAAAAAAAACAAUUUCUGAAGCCCCCUGAGUGACCUUCUUCAAACCCACCCCUGGGUGAAACAUCACCCUGAGUUCUGUGUUUCCUGCUCUUUGGAAUUUCAAGUCCUUUCCCCACACCUGCAAGGAAGCCCGAGGGAGGCUCUGGACCCACGCUCCCGGCCACUCACCCGCCCUCACAGCUGAGUGUCCCCACUGUCUGAGCCUGUCACACCUGGCUUGUCCACUCCACCAUGCCAGGCAGUUUGCAGAAUUACAGAUGUCACCGCGAGGACAAGUCAAACACCCGCCCCAGCUCAGGGUUCCUCCGGGUGCCCAGGGGGCCGAGGCGUGGUGCCCCCGCCGCUCACUUCACGUGCACGCUCGUCCACGCGGGCCACGACGGGGAGUCUGGAUGUCACUUGCGUGGGUCCGCAUCUCAAGCCUGCUCCUUUUCACAGAGUCUCUCUCGAAGAUCCCCCCUCAGUUUACACCCCAGUCCAGCCUCCUGCCGCCGCACCAGUGCGCCAUGGCAUCAGACUGUGGACAGGUGUGGGAAGCGUUCUUAAUUACAGUUUUAAUUUGCUCUCACUGAACACCGGGAGCUUCUCCGCUCGGAGCUCCUGUUUCUCUUCCAGGCUCAAAUCCUUCGCUCAUUUUUAUCUUGUUAUCUGUCUGUUCCUGACUGAUUUGGAAGUUAGUUACACAUUCUGGACACUAAUCCUUUGUCAGCUGAAUGCAUUGAAAACAUCUCCUCCCAGUUGGUGGCUCCUGUGUCCACUUAUUUAUGCCGCUGUUGAUGAAUUUUAAUGGAGCAGAAUUUGUCAGUCCUUCCCUUUUGUUUCACUUCUGUGGUUUUAAUAAACAAUUUCUUAGUCGGUGGUCAUGGUAUGUUC